Tachysurus fulvidraco (yellow catfish) is the source of this 980-nucleotide long non-coding RNA. RefSeq lists it as uncharacterized. The transcript has 3 exons. The record is from RefSeq and is a predicted model, not a curated record. NCBI's taxonomy places the organism in Eukaryota, Metazoa, Chordata, Actinopteri, Siluriformes, Bagridae.
GUGAACAGGAACCUGCAGAUCUCCUGCACUGCACCAGUACCAUCCAGUAUCACUCUUCUUCAGUCUGCUCAUCUUCACACUGAAGGAUCUUCUCCCAUCAUCACUGAUGUACACUGCUGAAUUCUGGGAUGUUUCAGUCCUCACUGUUUGGCAUUGUCCAUCUUUAAAUCUGCACCACUGCUUCUGUGUAUUCUGAUACGCAGCACUGUAGAGACACUGGACUGUGACGCUGCUUCCUUCCUCACCUCUCACUCUGCUCUCCCUCACUGACGGAUCUGAAUAAAUAGGCAGUAAAUGAGUGGUCACACCAACCCGUUCCAGACUCAGAGACAGAGUUCAGUUCCACGGUCAACAAAUUCUACUCUGGAUGAUCAAUGACUGAUGGAUUUCCACUUGAGUUUGCAUAGGCUACGAUACUGCAGCUACAUGUUUCAGUGUCCUCAUGCUCUCUACCUCUGCAAGCAAGCCACAUUAGGAAGCAGUAUUAGCGUUACUCAGACACUGAAUCAGGACGAUCAGAACAUUCAGGAAUCACUGUGUCACUACUGAGGUACAUUUAAUCUACCAGUGAUGAAAGCUGUUAACAGCCACUGCUCCAUGAAAGUAAAUAAACAAGAGCUUCUUUAACCCUUUAGAAAAAAAAUGAAGGAUACCCAGACAGUAUAUGAGAAUGAUAGAGAUUUAGUCUUACCUGAUAUACAGAGGAAAAACCCAAGAAGAGUUACAGAACCACAUAGUGAGUAAAAGCCCAUGUUUCUCUAAGACACUUGCAUGACAAAUACUCUUCCUACUUGUUGCUGAUGUUAAUUUGUACUAGCUGACUUCCUGUUUUUUCUUUUUUCAUCUCAUACUGUUACACCCUCUAAAAAAGCACAAAUUAUUGAAUAUAUUGAGGUACAUUUUUAAAUUAAUGUCAGUGUUGAACAAGUCACAGGUUUAUAACCGCAAGAAAAAACAGACUCAUAAAGAAACUUUGCCAG